RNAcentral lists this ribosomal RNA (254 nucleotides) under uncultured bacterium. Its description in RNAcentral is "partial 16S ribosomal RNA". It matches the Rfam family "Bacterial small subunit ribosomal RNA", at positions 524 to 776 of the family's 1533-position model. The record is from RNAcentral.
UACGUAGGGUGCGAGCGUUGUCCGGAAUUAUUGGGCGUAAAGAGCUCGUAGGCGGUGUGUCACGUCGGCCGUGAAAACCUGCAGCUUAACUGUGGGCGUGCGGUCGAUACGGGCAUCACUGGAGUUCGGCAGGGGAGACUGGAAUUCCUGGUGCAGCGGUGAAAUGCGCAGAUAUCAGGAGGAACACCGGUGGCGAAGGCGGGUCUCUGGGCCGAUACUGACGCUGAGGAGCGAAAGCGUGGGGAGCAAACAGG